GAUUUAUUGGGUUUAAAGGGUGCGUAGGCGGAUGAAUAAGUCAGUGGUGAAAGGCUGCGGCUUAACUGUAGACUUGCCGUUGAUACUGUUUAUCUUGAGUGUGGUCAAGGCAGGCGGAAUGUGUAAUGUAGCGGUGAAAUGCUUAGAUAUUACACAGAACACCGAUUGCGAAGGCAGCUUGCUGGGCCAUUACUGACGCUGAUGCACGAAAGCGUGGGGAGCGAACAGGAUUAGAUACCCUGGUAGUCCACGCCGUAAACUAUGAUCACUAGCUGUUGGCGAUACACAGUCAGCGGCAAAGCAAAAGCAUUAAGUGAUCCACCUGGGGAGUACGGCCGCAAGGCUGAAACUCAAAGGAAUUGACGGGGGCCCGCACAAGCGGAGGAACAUGUGGUUUAAUUCGAUGAUACGCGAGGAACCUUACCUGGGCUUAAAUGUAGAGUGCAUGAGGUAGAAAUACUUCUUCCCUUCGGGGCUCUUUGCAAGGUGCUGCAUGGUUGUCGUCAGCUCGUGCCGUGAGGUGUCGGGUUAAGUCCCAUAACGAGCGCAACCCUUAUCGUUAGUUGCCAGCGGGUAAAGCCGGGAACUCUAACGAAACUGCCGGUGUAAACCGAGAGGAAGGUGGGGAUGACGUCAAAUCAGCACGGACCUUAUGUUCAGGCUCACACGUGUUCAAUGGCCGUACAGAGGGCAGCUACCUGGAACAGGAUGCGAAUCUC
RNAcentral lists this ribosomal RNA (719 nucleotides) under uncultured bacterium. RNAcentral's name for it is "bacterial SSU rRNA". It matches the Rfam family "Bacterial small subunit ribosomal RNA", at positions 548 to 1275 of the family's 1533-position model. The record is from RNAcentral.